RNAcentral lists this transfer RNA (84 nucleotides) under Laccaria amethystina LaAM-08-1. It matches the Rfam family "tRNA". Rfam says of the family: Transfer RNA (tRNA) molecules are approximately 80 nucleotides in length. Their secondary structure includes four short double-helical elements and three loops (D, anti-codon, and T loops). Further hydrogen bonds mediate the characteristic L-shaped molecular structure. tRNAs have two regions of fundamental functional importance: the anti-codon, which is responsible for specific mRNA codon recognition, and the 3' end, to which the tRNAs corresponding amino acid is attached (by aminoacyl-tRNA synthetases). tRNAs cope with the degeneracy of the genetic code in two manners: having more than one tRNA (with a specific anti-codon) for a particular amino acid; and 'wobble' base-pairing, i.e. permitting non-standard base-pairing at the 3rd anti-codon position. Lineage: Eukaryota; Fungi; Basidiomycota; Agaricomycetes; Agaricales; Hydnangiaceae. The record is from Rfam by way of RNAcentral.
GUCGGUAUCGAUUAGGGGUUAAAUCACUUCGUUGUGGCUACUUCAUAGUCCGAAGAGCCGUUGGUUCGAUUCCAGCUACCGACA